This 294-nucleotide ribosomal RNA is filed under the name uncultured Mesorhizobium sp. Its description in RNAcentral is "partial 16S ribosomal RNA". It matches the Rfam family "Bacterial small subunit ribosomal RNA", at positions 29 to 352 of the family's 1533-position model. The record is from RNAcentral. Lineage: Bacteria; Pseudomonadati; Pseudomonadota; Alphaproteobacteria; Hyphomicrobiales; Phyllobacteriaceae.
AACGAACGCUGGCAGCAGGCUUAACACAUGCAAGUCGAGCGCCUCGCAAGAGGAGCGGCAGACGGGUGAGUAACGCGUGGGAAUCUACCCAUCUCUACGGAACAACUCCGGGAAACUGGAGCUAAUACCGUAUACGUCCUUCGGGAGAAAGAUUUAUCGGAGAUGGAUGAGCCCGCGUUGGAUUAGCUAGUUGGUGGGGUAAUGGCCUACCAAGGCGACGAUCCAUAGCUGGUCUGAGAGGAUGAUCAGCCACACUGGGACUGAGACACGGCCCAGACUCCUACGGGAGGCAGC